This 273-nucleotide ribosomal RNA is filed under the name uncultured bacterium. RNAcentral describes it as "partial 16S ribosomal RNA". It matches the Rfam family "Bacterial small subunit ribosomal RNA", at positions 523 to 796 of the family's 1533-position model. The record is from RNAcentral.
AUACAGAGGGUGCAAGCGUUAUUCGGAAUUACUGGGCGUAAAGCGCGCGUAGGCGGAUGAUUAAGUCAGUUGUGAAAGCCCUGGGCUCAACCUAGGAACUGCAUCUGAUACUGGUCGUCUAGAGUUUAAGAGAGGGAAGUGGAAUUCCAGGUGUAGCAGUGAAAUGCGUAGAUAUCUGGAGGAACAUCAGUGGCGAAGGCGACUUCCUGGCUUAAAACUGACGCUGAGGUGCGAAAGCGUGGGUAGCGAACGGGAUUAGAAACCCCGUAGUCC